UACGUAGGAGGCAAGCGUUAUCCGGAAUGACUGGGCGUAAAGGGUGCGUAGGUGGUUUGACAAGUUGGUAGCGCAACUCCGGGGCUCAACCUCGGCACUACUACCAAAACUGUUGAACUUGAGUGCAGGGGGGGCAAAUGGAAUUCCUAGUGUAGCGGUGGAAUGCGUAGAUAUCACACAGAACACCGAUUGCGAAGGCAUCUCACGAAUCCGCUAUUGACGCUGAUGCACGAAAGCGUGGGUAUCAAACAGG
RNAcentral lists this ribosomal RNA (253 nucleotides) under uncultured bacterium. RNAcentral's name for it is "partial 16S ribosomal RNA". It matches the Rfam family "Bacterial small subunit ribosomal RNA", at positions 524 to 776 of the family's 1533-position model. The record is from RNAcentral.